CUUUCGGUGACUAACCGAAGGAAGUUGGGGGCAAUAACAGGUCUGUGAUGCCCUUAGAUGUCCUGGGCUGCACGCGCGCUACACUGAUGCAUGCAACGAGUAACGACCUUUGCCGGAAGGCACGGGUAAUCUUUUGAACGUGCAUCGUGAUAGGGAUAGAUUAUUGCAAUUAUUAAUCUUGAACGAGGAAUUCCUAGUAAACGCGAGUCAUCAGCUCGCAUUGAUUACGUCCCUGCCCUUUGUACACACCGCCCGUCGCACCUACCGAUUGAAUGAUUCGGUGAAAAUCUCGGACUUUGGCAUGGAACUUUAUUGUGACUUGCCGAGGGAAGUUAUUUAAACCUCAUCAUUUAGAGGAAGGUGAAGUCGUAACAAGGUUUCCGUAGGUGAACCUGCGGAAGGAUCAUUA
This 409-nucleotide ribosomal RNA is filed under the name Heterosigma akashiwo. RNAcentral describes it as "SSU rRNA". It matches the Rfam family "Eukaryotic small subunit ribosomal RNA", at positions 1420 to 1831 of the family's 1831-position model. The record is from RNAcentral. Lineage: Eukaryota; Raphidophyceae; Chattonellales; Chattonellaceae.